GACUAUUAUCUAAAUGGUGGCCGAUUGGGAAAGGAGGAGAUGCAGCGAGACCUGGGUGUCAUGGUACACCAGUCAUUGAAGGUAGGCAUGCAGGUGCAGCAGGCAGUAAAGAAAGCAAAUGGUAUGUUAGCUUUCAUUGCAAAAGGAUUUGAGUAUAGGAGCAGGGAGGUUCUACUGCAGUUGUACAGGGUCUUGGUGAGACCACACCUGGAGUAUUGCGUACAGUUUUGGUCUCCAAAUCUGAGGAAGGACAUUAUUGCCAUAGAGGGAGUGCAGAGACGGUUCACCAGACUGAUUCCUGGGAUGUCAGGACUGUCUUAUGAAGAAAGACUGGAUAGACUUGGUUUAUACUCUCUAGAAUUUAGGAGAUUGAGAGGGGAUCUUAUAGAAACUUACAAAAUUCUUAAGGGGUUGGACAGGCUAGAUGCAGGAAGAUUGUUCCCGAUGUUAGGGAAGUCCAGGACAAGGGGUCACAGCUUAAGGAUAAGGGGGAAAAUCCUUUAAAACCGAGAUGAGAAGAACUUUUUUCACACAGAGAGUGGUGAAUCUCUGGAACUCUCUGCCACAGAGGGUAGUUGAGGCCAGUUCAUUGGCUAUAUUUAAGAGGGAGUUAGAUGUGGCCCUUGUGGCUAAGGGGAUCAGUGGGUAUGGAGAGAAGGCAGGUACGGGAUACUGAGUUGGAUGAUCAGCCAUGAUCAUAUUGAAUGGCGGUGCAGGCUCGAAGGGCCGAAUUGCCUACUCCUGCACCUAAUUUCUAUGUUUCUAUGUUUUCAUGCCUGCCCCACCAUUCAAUGUGAUCACGGCUAAUCUGCCCGAGGCCUCAACCACUUUGUUGGAUCUCCACGGUCUUUAAUUCUCCACGUCAUAGACUCACAAAGCUACACACGGAAACAAACCCCUUGGCGCAGCUCGUCCAUGGUCUGUCAAACAUGUCUCCUUCCAGUAAUCCACAUGGGUGGAGAAUUCCAGAGAUUCACAUCACACUGUGAGAAGAUUUGUUUUAACGACCCUCCUCUUGAAAACAGUUUCGCUCGUCUGCAGGGGAUUGUGAAGCGAAUCCACGUGGGCUGUUAAAGUGAUCGAAGGGUUUAUUUGGCGGGGAAUCUCCACCAUCCAGCAGGCUGCCGCACUCAGGAUAUUCAUGGAAUCAAAGGUGGGGAAUAAUGCUAGAAACGGCGCUGAUGCAGAAGAUCAGCCGUGAACGCAGAACAGGGGUUACGGAUUCUCAACAUACCAGCGGGGAGAUGUGGGGGAGCACCACCCCACACAUCCCACACACUUUAACAGUCAGUAGUAUGGCGAGCCCGCGUCCCGCACUGCAGGGCGCAGUGCUCCACAGACACAACAUCUAAUGCGUCGUAUCUAAUCCAGUCGGCACGCAGACAAUAAAGUAGUUGAAGUUCAAAUUCGCAUUUAUUGUCACAACCGAUUACGGCACAGUGAAAUUUGAGUUACCAUACAGCCAUAUUAAGCGAAAAGAACAAAAUACACACAUAAUAUGAAAUUUAACAUAAACAUCCACCACAGUGGAAUCAUCAUUCCUCAUUGUGAAGGAAGGCAAUAAAGUUCAGCCAUCUUCCUCCUUUAUUCACCCGUGGUCGAGGCCUUUGAACCGUCGCAUUCACCGCUGCCGACGGCCCGAUGUUCAGGCCCUCUCGUCGGGAGGAUCGAAACUCCGACGACCGGGAGAGGCUUUAAACACGGAAAUAUGCUAGCGGGAGGUAGAAGAACUUGCUCGGAAAGGCGAUCGUGCAGUUGGUGCAGAGGAGAGAUACAGGAGAGGAUAAGCACAUGAGAAUACAUGUCGGAAAUUUCGACCUGCAGCGUUAACUCUGUUUCUCUCUCCAGUAUUACUGAUUUCCAUGUUAGAUAAAGAUCAGUCUUAAUGCGAAUGAAACGGCGAGGUCGGGGCAGACACAGGGACAGAAUGGCCUUUUGAACCAAUGGUCCGGAAGAAAUGGCUGAGGUAAUUUCAACCUAAUUUGUGGGUUGGAAAGGAAGGAAGAAAUGACCCGCUGUGUGCUUGCACCUCUCACACCCACUCUCCGAGAUGAAACAUGACGCCACCGGAAUAACGCGAAUCAUUGUUGCGGGCUCAGCCGAGGAGAUGGUUUCGGGGCGGGUUCAGCGCCGACUCCAAUAGCUGGCCGAGUGUGUUGAGGGAAGUCACUUAAUUCCUCUCACUUUCUAAACAACGAUCCAGCUGAGCGAACAUGUGGCUGUUUUCCUGUUUGUUCGUGCUAAGUUUGAGCUGUGGGUGUUUGGCCCAGACCCUGACCCAGCCCAAAGGAUCGCUAACCUCGUCUGCCGGUAAAACAGUGCGAGUCUGGUGUCAAGUGAAUGACGGCCAAAUUAGUGACACCAACCCCAUUCACUGGUACCAACAGAAAGCCGGGCAGCCGAUCGCUCGGAUACUCUACUUUGGAAAUAGCGUGGUGCGGGAUCCGGGCUUUGGGACCUCCUUCAACGGUGGGAAAACCACUGACACCGCAUUCUACCUCGCAAUUGAAUUAACGGCUGACAAAUCUGCCACCUAUUACUGCGCCUGCUGGGUUACACAGCGUGUAACAGAAACACAAUCUCCGCACAAAAAGCCAGAACACCUGUGUGCACCUGAUCCGGAGACUGCAACAACCCGCCGCUGCACCCCUCGCCUACUGCAACAACACGCCGAUGCACCCCUCGCCUACUGCAACAACACGCCGAUGCACCCCUCGCCUACCGCUUCUCACAGGGACAGGUGCUGGGGUCCAAGCGAGUAGCAGCCGCUAAAACGGCCCGGAUCUCCAGUUACAAGGAAGCGUUUCCGCUUGAACGAUGAGACUGACCCUUGUGUUACCCAAUUCCUGGAAGCUGUCCUCCCGCGGAGCGGUGGGCGAGGGACUGGCCCGGCCGGUGUGGUGACAAAUGGACUCGCUUUACCUACAGAGUUCCCAAUCACCCGACUCUGACGCUGCUCGUCAGAAAACAUCAUCCCGAUUCCAAGACAUUACUGCAGGGCUAUUUUCUUCCACCCAGAAAUCUGCAAUAAGCGUGUUCGGUAUUCCGACAACGCAUGCCCAGGUUAUAGGUCACUAGCUAUAAAACAGCCUUGGCAACGGUGAUGCUGCAUUGUGUGCAAGCGCGUUUCGUCAGUAGUCGGGGUUGGCCCUCCGUCGCUGCGGGUGCUGUUGGGCCGUCCCCUCCCCGGUGUCCCGUCCCUGCCUGGAUGUGUCCUGGUUGGCCCUGGGCUGGCGGGGCGACCCUGGACUUGCAGCCGCUGGCUCCAGCUCGGCUCUGCCUGUCCCGCCGGGUUGGCCCCGGCAGCCCUCCACCUCCACCUCCUCCCCUCAGUCGGACUCGUACUGUUGCCACGCAACGCCAACUGGAGUACAUGCGGUGAACUGCAGGUAAGCGUGUCUUUGGUAAGCACUUACCCUGGCUUCCAGUGAAGGGGCCCGUCUUCUAUCCCAGCCUCCGGACUCCACGCAGACUGGAUCCACACUCGUGGACCCCGGCCAUCUAUCCCCCUGCCGCUUACACCUUGGUGUUCGGGUUCAGUGCAAAGAUAGUAGGGCAUGUGGUUCAGAGCGCUCAGUCACCCUCCACAAUUAUUUACAGCGCAAAAAUUGACCAUUUCGGCGGUUUUAACAAGUAAAAAAGUACGCGUUUCGUGUGUUAACAGUGUAUGCGGGAGGCUGCCAUGUCCUCCAGACAGAUUGAGCUGCUCCGUGCGUCACGCCCUUUGACCCGAUGACCUUACAUGCAGCCCCCUGUAGCGCUGAGAUCUAUUUACUGUUAUAGCUUACGACCUUUGACAAAUCCCAUGUUUCCUUGCGUUUUUCGAAAUACCGAACUCACUUAUUGUUUCAUCAAUGAACUCCGUCUGUGUAACAAGUGCACCAAGAAGUGACAAUCUACAGCAAGUCAGUCUAAUGAAACAUC
Leucoraja erinaceus (little skate) is the source of this 3924-nucleotide non-coding RNA. NCBI's taxonomy places the organism in Eukaryota, Metazoa, Chordata, Chondrichthyes, Rajiformes, Rajidae. The record is from the annotation of a RefSeq genome assembly.